RNAcentral lists this ribosomal RNA (480 nucleotides) under soil fungal sp. DM073. RNAcentral's name for it is "eukaryotic LSU rRNA". It matches the Rfam family "Eukaryotic large subunit ribosomal RNA", at positions 141 to 636 of the family's 3401-position model. The record is from RNAcentral. Lineage: Eukaryota; Fungi.
AGNUGUAAUUUGCAGAGGAUGCUUUGGCAUUGNNGGCGGUCUAAGUUCCUUGGAACAGGACAUCGCAGAGGGUGAGAAUCCCGUACGUGGGCGCCUGCCUUUGCCGUGUAAAGCUCCUUCGACGAGUCGAGUUGUUUGGGAAUGCAGCUCUAAAUGGGAGGUAAAUUUCUUCUAAAGCUAAAUACCGGCCAGAGACCGAUAGCGCACAAGUAGAGUGAUCGAAAGAUGAAAAGUACUUUGGAAAGAGAGUCAAAAAGCACGUGAAAUUGUUGAAAGGGAAGCGCUUGCAGCCAGACUUGCCCGCAGUUGCUCACCUAGGCUUUGGCCUGGGGCACUCUUCUGCGGGCAGGCCAGCAUCAGUUUGGGCGGUCGGACAAAGGCCUCUGUCAAGUAUCUCCCUUCGGGGUGACCUUAUAGGGGAGGCGUAAUGCGACCAGCCCGGACUGAGGUCCGCGCAUCUGCUAGGAUGCUGNCNUAAUG